UCUCUCCCUCUCUCGCUCUUCACACACAUGCAAAAUCAUCCCUCCCAUCAGCCCUCGCUCUCUCAUAUCAGUGUUUAAUUAAAUGUUUAAUUAAAGCAGCUCCGCUCUGUUUGAAAUCUCACUUAAACCCUGCAGUCACACUCACUCAACGGGUUUCUCACUUCCCUGCCCUUCUUCACACAGAAAAAACUGCUUCUGCGAACAUCUCAAAGGGAAAAGCAGCAACAACAAAUAGUUGUUUACUCUACAAGGUCCAAAAUGGUUAAUUGGUGUGUGAAUUAAGAAAAUUGGCCCCAGUUUAUAUUAGGCAACUUUAACCCUAUGCAACAUGAAAAUACUAUACAAUGUAUUUAUUGUGUAACAUGUUCUGCAAAAUUCUCACAAGAUUCACAUUUGCUGCUACUGAGGUUUCGUGUUGGGUUAGGUUUAGGUGGUUAGGGUAAUGGUUUAGGUGAAGGGUUAGGAUUUAUGGGAAGUGUUGGGUUAGGUUUAGGGGGUUGGGUAAUGGUUUAGGUGAAGGGUUAGGAUUUAGGGGACGUGUUGGGUUAGGUUUAGGGGGUUGGGUAAUGGUUUAGGUGAAGGGUUAGGAUUUAUGGGAAGUGUUGGGUUAGGUUUAGGGGGUUGGGUAAUGGUUUAGGUGAAGGGUUAGGAUUUAUGGGAAGUGUUGGGUUAGGUUUAGGGGGUUGGGUAAUGGUUUAGGUGAAGGGUUAGGAUUUAGGGGACGUGUUGGGUUAGGUUUAGGGGGUUGGGUAAUGGUUUAGGUGAAGGGUUAGGAUUUAUGGGAAGUGUUGGGUUAGGUUUAGGGGGUUGGGUAAUGGUUUAGGUGAAGGGUUAGGAUUUAGGGGACGUGUUGGGUUAGGUUUAGGGGGUUGGGUAAUGGUUUAGGUGAAGG
Xyrauchen texanus (razorback sucker) is the source of this 892-nucleotide long non-coding RNA. RefSeq lists it as uncharacterized. The transcript is spliced from 4 exons. NCBI's taxonomy places the organism in Eukaryota, Metazoa, Chordata, Actinopteri, Cypriniformes, Catostomidae. The record is from RefSeq and is a predicted model, not a curated record.